RNAcentral lists this ribosomal RNA (466 nucleotides) under uncultured bacterium. RNAcentral describes it as "bacterial SSU rRNA". It matches the Rfam family "Bacterial small subunit ribosomal RNA", at positions 329 to 792 of the family's 1533-position model. The record is from RNAcentral.
UGCCAGACUCCUACGGGAGGCAGCAGUGAGGAAUAUUGGUCAAUGGCCGUAAGGCUGAACCAGCCAAGUAGCGUGAGGGAAGACUGCCCUAUGGGUUGUAAACCUCUUUUAUGCGGGGAUAAAGGUGUCCACGUGUGGAUGUUUGCAGGUACCGCAUGAAUAAGGACCGGCUAAUUCCGUGCCAGCAGCCGCGGUAAUACGGAGGAUCCGAGCGUUAUCCGGAUUUAUUGGGUUUAAAGGGAGCGUAGGUGGAUUGUUAAGUCAGUUGUGAAAGUUUGCGGCUCAACCGUAAAAUUGCAGUUGAAACUGGCAGUCUUGAGUACAGUAGAGGUGGGCGGAAUUCGUGGUGUAGCGGUGAAAUGCAUAGAUAUCACGCAGAACUCCGAUUGCGAAGGCAGCAUACCGGCGCCCAACUGACGCUGAAGCACGAAAGCGUGGGUAUCGAACAGGAUUAGAUACCCGAGUA